CUCAGAGCAGGGUGAGGAUUGGGAAGCGCUCGCUAUCCAGAUGCUCCUCAAAGGGGGAGCAGGAGAAUCCAUUCCAAUUCCCCAAAACCAAAAUAAUCACAAGAGACAACACACAAAAAUCAUUGUUUAACUGUGAAGAAACAUGGUACACAUCCAUUUAAAUAAACAAUCUAAUUUACCCAAAUACAAGAAUCUUGGAAAGCCUUUUGUUCUGUAGUUUAUGUGUGUGCUUUUGAGUUCAACACAACAUUUAAUCAGUUUUACCUCAUCAGUCGAGAGCUGAUCAGGUGCAUUUAGAUAAACGGACAGAUCCAUGUUUAUCUGCUGGUUGUGGCAAAGUAUGAGAUUUGUUGUAAAAUACAUGAAAUUUAAAUCUAAGACUGGUCACCUUGUCGUUUGUCGUUUUAAUGAAUGAAUGCUGAUAGAUUUGUUGACCACACGAGGGAGCAGAUGUCUUUGAGUCUGCUCGUGAGUGAAACUGAAGCGCAGUUGUUCCUCCGCUCCACUAGGCGGCGGAAGCGGCUUCACGUUCAGUCUGAGCGCUUCGGAUGAGUGACAGAAUGACGCUUGUUGUGACAACAUGUGCAGACCGUUUAAAAUACAGAUCCUGCAGAUGACAGCUCAGUGACAGUGUUUUUAAUGUCAUUAAACAGCAUCUAUUCCAGCACAUAAACAAACAAAACCGACACCUGCUGCGAUAAAGUGCAGGAAUCGAGAGUCACUAAUAAGGGAUGUGUUUGGUCAGAAGCAGAGCUCUGGGACGUGUGGACAGACAUUGACUGUAAUGAUGGACAUCUGCUCAGGGACAGUCUGUGCAAAAGUAUAACCACUGUGGGUCACGGUGCUGGAAGCUCCAGGGGGAGACCGUACUGAUAUCCCCCUUCUUCAGGCGCGCCUUCACACACACUCCUCCAUUCACUCGUAUCGCAGAGACCUGGCUGGGAUCAAACCAGCAACCUCUGAACCAUGAGGCAGCGCUCUUACCUGUGAGCCACAGAUCUCUUGUUGAAAAAAGUGAAGGAACUUAUAUUUCACUGUUAACUUGUAAUUUCACAAUAAACUAGUUAAAGCUUUCAAUUGUGGUUGUCAUUUGAAACGCUGCAGUGGGACUUGAACCCAUGCUUCAAUCAUAGCCUUGCACGCAAUGAACAUUGUUUAGCCACUAGUUCCACUGUGGCUCUUACGCUGAGUGAUGGCAUUUGGGGCACUUUGUUGGAUAUAAGGCCAACAAUUUAACAUAAGCAUUAAUGGGGUUCGAACUCAGAUCUCCUUGAUUAAACCACAACGCUUUAUGAACUGAGCCACUAA
Sinocyclocheilus rhinocerous is the source of this 1308-nucleotide long non-coding RNA. RefSeq lists it as uncharacterized. Lineage: Eukaryota; Metazoa; Chordata; Actinopteri; Cypriniformes; Cyprinidae. The transcript has 3 exons. The record is from RefSeq and is a predicted model, not a curated record.